UUCUUCAUUUUUGGGUCUUAUAUUUACAAAAAGUAUUUCUCAUGACCUCUUUCAUGGUUUGAUUUUCAGCAAAAGAUUGUGAUGAAGGUUCAAAUGAAUAGCGAAAAAUGCCAGACUAAGGCACUCAGAGUUGCAGCUAUAGCAGACGUGUGUGCUCUGUGGGAUUAGAAGGAGUAGAGAAAUUUAAAGUGGUGGUGGUGGUGAUUGGUGACAGAGUUGAUGCUGUAAGUUUGGCUGCUACUAUGAGGAAGAAGGUUGGGCACACUGAUAUGUAUUAGUGUAGCACACUGACACAUAUACCCUUGGCUACUAGAAUUCCUUUUGAAGGACACUACCUUUUCUCUUAUUUUUUUGUUAACCAGGUGAGAGAUGUAUAUUGGCAAGGUGUUAAUGUAAUAAACAUUCUCUUAGUUAUUUUGGCAUCCCUUAUCAACAUUUUAAGCAUUUAGAGAAUUUAAUGCCUUUGGCAAAAUAGGGAUUUUUUUUUUUUUUUAAAUUUAUUUUAAGUAUUGGUUAUAUUUGGUUCAAGUUUGAUUCCUACCUCACAUGCAAAGCUUGAUCAAGUUCCACUUGGCCCGACCCAUUGAGGCCAAGGGCCUAGUAAAAAUGGGGCGGGCUGGCCCAGCUCGACCCAUUGCUGAAGAAAGAACUCAAAAUGCAAGUCUGCUUGUCCAUGGUUUUCUUUUGGACAUGUGGAGUCCUUGGAAGUGGGCAUGGCCAGAUGUCGACGACAUAAGAGGAAAAUGACGAAGAAGAGGAUGACGAAUAAGAGCACGCCGAAGAAGAGGACCUAUGAUUUCUGUGUUUCUAGCUUCAAGUAGAGAUUUUUGGAUGGCGAUGGUGAAAGAUGAUUUGUCUGUGUGGCCAAUGUUCACUCUUGGCUUGAAAUUCAGUGAUGCAAGUCUAAUCCAUUCAUGGCAAAGUUCAGCUACGGCUUGAUUCGGCAUUGCAAUUCUGAUCCAGUCAUGGUGUGACGUACAGGAGGCCUGUUACCAGCAGGAAAGAAGAAGAAACAACAUAUACCUUGGCUUUGUUAAUUGGAUCAUUUACUCCUCACUGUGAGGCCUGUACGUUUUGUGAUGAAUCAAAUUUUCCCACAUGGGUGCACAUAUGAGAAAGGACCACAGAGGCAGGUUCUCUAUCAUUUCAUAAUGGAAGCAACAAAGUGCAUCAUGGAACAUAUCGUGUGUAAUCCAUAUUAUAUGGCGACAGAUGAAUGGAGAUUGAUGUUUCAUGUCUUAGUGAUUGAAGAGUUCCGUGUCAUGGAAGAGGGGGAAGAGUGCGAUGUUACCACCAGGAAUGGAGGGGAUGAGAUGAUAAAUGCUUGCUUUUCUUUUUACCAUUGCUAGUCGCCCAAUUUGGAAUGACAUUCAAAAAUAAAAAUACCUGAGUUAGUCACCAAUAUGAGCAAGGAAAAAAGAAGAAGAAGAAGGCAAUGAAGCCAUAUUACUAUUGUUUGCUCUAUGCAGUUCAAUUCUGAUUCACCUAUAGAUGUAGGAAACCAUAUCAAGAGUACAAGUCUGAUUUAUUUGGUCUGCGGCUAAAAUCUAAAAUGAAGAUAUUGCUUAAACAGAAAAUUUGCUUCCUUACAUCAAUGCAAGUUUUAUUUAAUGGCAGUAGACAUAGCUCAAGAGCGGCUUUUGUGGUUUAUGAGGAAAUUUGGAGUACCCUCAAAAGCUUUUGUGGCUACAACUCCUAAAAUCAUUGACAAUGUCAUAUCUAGCUCAUCUCCUAAUUAUUUCUGAUGGACAAGGAAGAUAAGAUCAAUCUCAAAGAAGAAACCCCAUCAAGGACGUCAAGAAUUCAGUUGAGGAAGGAAAUGAACAUGAUCUUGGCACCACCACUCGCAAAGGAAAUUGAGGAAGAUUUAUGAUCACAGCAGAAGCUCAUUAAUCUUGUAGCCAGCGAGUAUUUGAAGUUAUAAGCAUGGAGAAUGGUGUAGUGCGCUACAGUGUUGAGUUUUACAGGGAUGAAGAUCUUUUGACCUCAGAUUUCAUAUAUUGAGGCCUUAAUGUCAUCUAUUUUCUCCCCAACAUCAGGGUUAUUAUGUUGAAGUCUAAACAUAUUGGAGGAGCAUAGCUAAUGCUGGUGAAAAUCAUUAAGCAAUGAUGCACCUCAUAUAGCCAUGUCUUACAUUCUGGUGCAAGAUAGCUAAUUGAAAAGGCUCCAUAUGCAGAACAGAAAAGUUCUAUAUAUCAAAACAACAAAGCUCUGUUCUCUCCUCCCCGAAACAUUGUCCUUGUUUACAAAGUCAUGGACACAAAAAGGCUUAUAGAUGAGGCUCCAAUCAACAUCCCGAAUCUAACAUAUCAUGGAUGUCAAGAAGAAACAAUGUCAAGCUGUGACAUGUGAAUAGGAGACAACUGGCUUUAUCUAUAUCUGUAAAUUCUUCUUUCCAUGUCCUUUUGUUGUUUGAAUGUGAAUGACUGGUUAUCAAGUUUGUUAUUAUAGGGACAUGAUUUCAAAACUACGUAGAUUGCUUUUGUUAAGAGGAAAAUUUUAUUUGUAUAAGCAAUAUUUCUGUUAAAUUUCAUAUUGCUUUUGUUAAGCAAUAUGUCAACCAAUUUCCUAAAAGUCAAGUCAACAAUUUGGGUUUGGAAGCA
Quercus robur (English oak) is the source of this 2603-nucleotide long non-coding RNA. RefSeq lists it as uncharacterized. The record is from RefSeq and is a predicted model, not a curated record. NCBI's taxonomy places the organism in Eukaryota, Viridiplantae, Streptophyta, Magnoliopsida, Fagales, Fagaceae. The transcript is spliced from 12 exons.